CGAAGAAAAAGCCCUUGAAUUGCCAAGCGAUCCGGCCGCGUGGAGGGGACUGAACGGCCUUCCGGGGUUGUAAAACCUCCUUCAGCAAGGGAAAGAAAGCGAAAAGUGACCGGUACCCUGCCAGGAAGAAGCGCCCGGCUAACUACGUGCCAGCAGCCCGCGGGUAAUACGUAGGGCGCGAGCGUUGUCCGGAAUUAUUGGGCGUAAAGAGCUUCGUAGGCGGGCUUGUCGCGUCGGUUGUGAAAGCCCGGGGCUUAACCCCCGGGUCUGCAGUCGAUACGGGCAGGCUAGAGUUCGGUAGGGGAGAUCGGAAUUCCUGGUGUAGCGGUGAAAUGCGCAGAUAUCAGGAGGAACACCGGUGGCGAAGGCGGAUCUCUGGGCCGAUACUGACGCUGAGGAGCGAAAGCGUGGGGAGCGAACAGGAUUAGAUACCCUGGUAGUCCACGCCGUAAACGGUGGGCACUAGGUGUGGGCGACAUUCCACGUCGUCCGUGCCGCAGCUAACGCAUUAAGUGCCCCGCCUGGGGAGUACGGCCGCAAGGCUAAAACUCAAAGGAAUUGACGGGGGCCCGCACAAGCGGCGGAGCAUGUGGCUUAAUUCGACGCAACGCGAAGAACCUUACCAAGGCUUGACAUACACCGGAAACGUCUGGAGACAGGCGCCCCCUUGUGGUCGGUGUACAGGUGGUGCAUGGCUGUCGUCAGCUCGUGUCGUGAGAUGUUGGGUUAAGUCCCGCAACGAGCGCAACCCUUGUCCCGUGUUGCCAGCAGGCCCUUGUGGUGCUGGGGACUCACGGGAGACCGCCGGGGUCAACUCGGAGGAAGGUGGGGACGACGUCAAGUCAUCAUGCCCCUUAUGUCUUGGGCUGCACACGUGCUACAAUGGCCGGUACAAUGAGCUGCGAUACCGCGAGGUGGAGCGAAUCUCAAAAAGCCGGUCUCAGUUCGGAUUGGGGUCUGCAACUCGACCCCAUGAAGUCGGAGUCGCUAGUAAUCGCAGAUCAGCACUUGUUGCGUGUAUACGUUCCCGGGCCUUGUACACACCGCGGGUUCUCAAAGUCGGUAACACCCGAAGCCGGUGGCACGCAGAUCCGCUCAUGCUACAGAGCGAACGCUACAGUGAGCC
Molecule: ribosomal RNA, 1126 nt
Filed under: Streptomyces pilosus
Lineage: Bacteria; Bacillati; Actinomycetota; Actinomycetes; Kitasatosporales; Streptomycetaceae
Description: bacterial SSU rRNA
Rfam family: Bacterial small subunit ribosomal RNA
Source: RNAcentral